RNAcentral lists this ribosomal RNA (492 nucleotides) under Salmonella enterica. Its description in RNAcentral is "bacterial SSU rRNA". It matches the Rfam family "Bacterial small subunit ribosomal RNA", at positions 1 to 484 of the family's 1533-position model. Lineage: Bacteria; Pseudomonadati; Pseudomonadota; Gammaproteobacteria; Enterobacterales; Enterobacteriaceae. The record is from RNAcentral.
AAAUUGAAGAGUUUGAUCAUGGCUCAGAUUGAACGCUGGCGGCAGGCCUAACACAUGCAAGUCGAACGGUAGCACAGAGAGCUUGCUCUCGGGUGACGAGUGGCGGACGGGUGAGUAAUGUCUGGGAAACUGCCUGAUGGAGGGGGAUAACUACUGGAAACGGUGGCUAAUACCGCAUAACGUCGCAAGACCAAAGAGGGGGACCUUCGGGCCUCUUGCCAUCAGAUGUGCCCAGAUGGGAUUAGCUUGUUGGUGAGGUAACGGCUCACCAAGGCGACGAUCCCUAGCUGGUCUGAGAGGAUGACCAGCCACACUGGAACUGAGACACGGUCCAGACUCCUACGGGAGGCAGCAGUGGGGAAUAUUGCACAAUGGGCGCAAGCCUGAUGCAGCCAUGCCGCGUGUAUGAAGAAGGCCUUCGGGUUGUAAAGUACUUUCAGCGGGGAGGAAGGUGUUGUGGUUAAUAACCACAGCAAUUGACGUUACCCGCAG